AAUGCCGGUAUGAGUAGCGAAAGACGGGUGAGAAUCCCGUCCACCGAAUGCCUAAGGUUUCCUGAGGAAGGCUCGUCCGCUCAGGGUUAGUCGGGACCUAAGCCGAGGCCGAAAGGCGUAGGCGAUGGACAACAGGUUGAUAUUCCUGUACCACCUCCUCACCAUUUGAGCAAUGGGGGGACGCAGGAGGAUAGGGUAAGCGCGGUAUUGGAUAUCCGCGUCCAAGCAGUUAGGCUGGGAAAUAGGCAAAUCCGUUUCCCGUGAAGGCUGAGCUGUGAUGGCGAGCGAAAUUUAGUAGCGAAGUUCCUGAUUCCACACUGCCAAGAAAAGCCUCUAGCGAGGUGAGAGGUGCCCGUACCGCAAACCGACACAGGUAGGCGAGGAGAGAAUCCUAAGGUGA
RNAcentral lists this ribosomal RNA (400 nucleotides) under Listeria monocytogenes. RNAcentral describes it as "partial 23S ribosomal RNA". It matches the Rfam family "Bacterial large subunit ribosomal RNA", at positions 1293 to 1689 of the family's 2925-position model. The record is from RNAcentral. Lineage: Bacteria; Bacillati; Bacillota; Bacilli; Caryophanales; Listeriaceae.